RNAcentral lists this long non-coding RNA (259 nucleotides) under Homo sapiens (human). RNAcentral describes it as "non-protein coding lnc-ABLIM3-4:2". Lineage: Eukaryota; Metazoa; Chordata; Mammalia; Primates; Hominidae. The record is from RNAcentral.
AGAGAGGGCUGCGGACAGGGAUGCAUCUCUACCGUGCCUGCCGUCGGGUGAUCUAACUGCAAGCAAAAGGCAGCAGGGAAUGUUUGAAGAUUUCUGUGGCCAGUCUCCUAGGAAUGUGAGCACUGUGAGGAAAGCUGGAACAUGGAUCUGGAGGGACAAACGGAGAACGUCCGGGACAGGAAGAGUAGUGGGAAACGAGUCAGAGAGAGAGCAAAUGUGCGCUGAGUGCCUCUCCAUGGAAGCCUGAGGGGAACCCAGC